Molecule: ribosomal RNA, 465 nt
Filed under: uncultured bacterium
Lineage: Bacteria
Description: bacterial SSU rRNA
Rfam family: Bacterial small subunit ribosomal RNA
Source: RNAcentral
CCUACGGGUGGCAGCAGUGGGGAAUAUUGGACAAUGGGGGAAACCCUGAUCCAGCAACGCCGCGUGAAUGAAGAAGGCCUUCGGGUUGUAAAGUUCUUUAGUCCUAGAGCAAAUACAGUCGGGUAAUAUACGACUGGGAUGAGAGUAUAGGAAGAAUAAGCACCGGCAAACUACGUGCCAGCAGCCGCGGUAAUACGUAGGGUGCAAGCGUUAAUCGGAAUAACUGGGCGUAAAGGGUGAGUAGGCUGAUAUACAAGUUAGAUGAGAAAUACCAGAGCUUAACUUUGGGAUAUCGUGUAAUACUGUAUGUCUAGAGUUAGUGAGAGGAUGGGGGAAUUCCGAGUGUAGCAGUGAAAUGCGUAGAGAUUCGGAGGAACAUCAGUGGCGAAGGCGCCCAUCUGGCAUAUAACUGACGCUGAAUCACGAAAGCGUGGGUAGCAAACAGGAUUAGAUACCCUUGUAGUC